GAUGAACGCUGGCGGCGUGCCUAAUACAUGCAAGUCGAGCGAACGGACGAGAAGCUUACUUCUCUGAUGUUAGCGGCGGACGGGUGAGUAACACGUGGAUAACCUACCUAUAAGACUGGGAUAACUUCGGGAAACCGGAGCUAAUACCGGAUAAUAUUUUGAACCGCAUGGUUCAAAAGUGAAAGACGGUCUUGCUGUCACUUAUAGGUGGAUCCGCGCUGCAUUAGCUAGUUGGUAAGGUAACGGCUUACCAAGGCAACGAUGCAUAGCCGACCUGAGAGGGUGAUCGGCCACACUGGAACUGAGACACGGUCCAGACUCCUACGGGAGGCAGCAGUAGGGAAUCUUCCGCAAUGGGCGAAAGCCUGACGGAGCAACGCCGCGUGAGUGAUGAAGGUCUUCGGAUCGUAAAACUCUGUUAUUAGGGAAGAACAUAUGUGUAAGUAACUGUGCACAUCUUGACGGUACCUAAUCAGAAAGCCACGGCUAACUACGUG
Molecule: ribosomal RNA, 497 nt
Filed under: uncultured bacterium
Lineage: Bacteria
Description: partial 16S ribosomal RNA
Rfam family: Bacterial small subunit ribosomal RNA
Source: RNAcentral